RNAcentral lists this ribosomal RNA (482 nucleotides) under uncultured bacterium. RNAcentral's name for it is "partial 16S ribosomal RNA". It matches the Rfam family "Bacterial small subunit ribosomal RNA", at positions 28 to 507 of the family's 1533-position model. The record is from RNAcentral.
GACGAGCGCUGGCGGCGUGCUUAGCACAUGCAAGUCGAACGAUGAAGAAGAGAAACGCGAACUUCGGUUCAAAUUUCACUUCGGAUUAGUGGCAGACGGGUGAGUAACGCGUGAGCAACCUACCUCUUACAAAGGGAUAGCCUCGGGAAACCGUGAUUAGUACCAUAUGACACAUUCAUAAGGCAUCUUAAGAAUGUUAAAGCUACGGCGGUAAGAGAUGGGCUCGCGUCCCAUUAGCUAGUUGGUGAGGUAACGGCCCACCAAGGCGACGAUGGGUAACCGGCCUGAGAGGGUGAACGGUCACAUUGGAACUGAGACACGGUCCAAACUCCUACGGGAGGCAGCAGUGGGGAAUAUUGCACAAUGGAGGGAACUCUGAUGCAGCGACGCCGCGUGAGCGAUGAAGGAAUUCGUUUCGUAAAGCUCUGUUCUAUGGGAAGAAAAGGACUGUACCAUAGGAGAAAGCCCCGGCUAAAUACGUG